CAGGCCUAACACAUGCAAGUCGAACGAAGGCUUCGGCCUUAGUGGCGCACGGGUGCGUAACGCGUGGGAAUCUGCCCUGGGGUACGGAAUAACUCAGAGAAAUUUGAGCUAAUACCGUAUGAUGACGUAAGUCCAAAGAUUUAUCGCCCUGGGAUGAGCCCGCGUAGGAUUAGCUAGUUGGUGAGGUAAAGGCUCACCAAGGCGACGAUCCUUAGCUGGUCUGAGAGGAUGAUCAGCCACACUGGGACUGAGACACGGCCCAGACUCCUACGGGAGGCAGCAGUGGGGAAUAUUGGACAAUGGGCGAAAGCCUGAUCCAGCAAUGCCGCGUGAGUGAUGAAGGCCUUAGGGUUGUAAAGCUCUUUUACCCGGGAAGAUAAUGACUGUACCGGGAGAAUAAGCCCCGGCUAACUCCGUGCCAGCAGCCGCGGUAAU
This 435-nucleotide ribosomal RNA is filed under the name uncultured bacterium. Its description in RNAcentral is "bacterial SSU rRNA". It matches the Rfam family "Bacterial small subunit ribosomal RNA", at positions 43 to 524 of the family's 1533-position model. The record is from RNAcentral.